CUUUUUAAGUCGCGUUUUGAAACCUGUGUUGUAAAUGAGGUGGUAUUUAUACCACUCACUAUAACACAUCCUAAUAGAGCCGCACUAUAUCUGUAGCUAUAUAGGCAACCUUACCUAUGAAGUCCACUUCACUGUCCUACUAUCUGAAAUUACACUACGCUUUUUUUUUUCAAGCGCGCCCACGAAUACGCGUUCACGUUUGGCAGCUCCACGUCGACAUUCUUCCAGCUGCAGACUGAACUGCACAGAGCUGAAAUAAGAGGUAAAAACGAUAUGAAGGCACUUCGAACACUGUUUGGAGCCUCCAGAGGGACGACCACCGCGAAAUAAGAAUCGGGGAAACUCCUGUUUGAUUUGAUAGUUAGCCCUGCAACAAUUGCAGAUAGGCCACUGUUUUUGGCGUUUUAUGAUCUGUUUGCCCUCGUGCUGGAUUGCAGCUGGCCCCCUUUAACAGUGCUCACUUUCUACCAGGUGAAGAUUUGGCGAAAAGGGUUGGCACAAAGGAAUAGCCUACUAUGUGGCACCGUGGCUUUCCAAGUAAAGUUCUGUGAUACACUUCGACUCUUAAUUGUUUGCAGUCAGUGCAUUACAGAACUUUGUUUUGGGAGUUAAUGCUCUGGCCUGAGGGACACAAACCUACCAUCUGGAGAAUAGGGAUAAUUUAUUCCACAACAUGCCACUUAUAGAGUACAAUAUGCAGACACCUUGUCAAAUGUUUUCUCCAUGAAUAAAGUUUUGACAAUGCCUUGCCUCGUGAGUUUUAACCUACGUGUGAAAGAAUUUCUCUGCUUCUUUACUUUGGUGUGUAUUAGAUGUUGGUAUUAGAGUGAAAUAAUUGUCUGAACUUUGUUGGAAAAGUGCCAGAAAGCUGUGGUUGACUGUUCUAUAAUUUCUUAUAAGACAACAUAUACAUUUAGAAGCCAUAUGGAAACUCCAGAAUUCACUCAUGCUUCACUUUCACUUGGCAACGUGAUUCAUGGAGGUUAGAGAGAAAGUUGUUACUGAUCUGGGUUAUAUGUCGUAAAACAUUGGAUGUAUUCCUGUAAGAAAUUGCCUAAUUGUAUCACAUCAACUAACAUUAAUCAAUAUCCCAGGUAGUACUUAUACCAAAAUGUUGUGCUUUUUCUAUUGACUAUUGGCAUUGUUUCAUGUGAAUGGUGCAUAAAUGUAUGUCCUGUCAAAUUGCUCAUAUAUGGCAAGAAUGAAUUAAACAAUUUCAGAGACAUGAGGCAAAUCGGAUGGACAAGCUAACUCAGGGCUCAACAGUAACUUUUUUUUUUUACAAGGAGCAUGUGUACACAAAUAAAUGUGGAAUAGGAUCUAAGGAUUAAAUGUUCUUCUCUGUGCUCUAGACUGUCAAAGCAUUAGAAUAUGAUAAUAGUUCUAUCAAAUUAAAGAUGCAGCCUGGGACUUUAGCAAUUAAGAAAAUCCUUUUUUUACCUCCCAUUUCAGGUUGGAUGUGAAAUGUGUUGUUCAUAUGUGCAUUAUCUGUAAUUAAGAUUACUAUCAUACCUCAGUUAGCCAUUUAAUUUGAAGUUUGAAAGCAAGUGUUGAUGUCUUGGGCCAAAUAUUGGGCGCGUACAUGACGC
Molecule: long non-coding RNA, 1589 nt
Organism: Esox lucius (northern pike)
Lineage: Eukaryota; Metazoa; Chordata; Actinopteri; Esociformes; Esocidae
Source: Ensembl